Molecule: long non-coding RNA, 2514 nt
Organism: Ochotona curzoniae (black-lipped pika)
Lineage: Eukaryota; Metazoa; Chordata; Mammalia; Lagomorpha; Ochotonidae
Exons: 4
Source: RefSeq, a predicted model, not a curated record
CCUUAGGAGAACAAAAAGCAAGAAUUAGUAACUUGGCAGUUAAAUUACCAGGAUAAAUUAAAACGCCUGCUCCCAGACUGAGAGAAUGUUUGCCUGCCCUAAGUGUUUCUAGAUGUUCACGCCCUUCCCCAGGUACCUCCUCAUCUCUGGAACCCGUGAGGACAACAUGGCACCGAGUCAGAGGAGCAGGAAUUCACACUGAGGCAGUGAGGCCCAGCUAGCCGGUGCUGGUGCAGGAAGGGGCUGUGAGACUGGGGAUGUGGGCAGCCUCCGGGAGCUGGAAAAGAGUGGUUACACCAACUUGUAUAAGGCAGUGCGAUCACUCCACGUUCCCACUGGCUGUUCAGUUUUGGACAUCCUGGAGCAGACACUUGACCUAGCACUUAGCACGCUGCUCAGGACACUGCUGCUUGAGGCCAGUGCCGGGGUUCCAUCCUGCUCCCUGCCAAUGCUGACUUCGGAGGCAACGGAGAAGCAAGUAACUGGCCUCCUGCCACCUACUUGGGACACGAGCACUGAGUUCCUGGUUCCCAGCUGUGGACUGACCCAGGCCCAACCACAGUGGGCAUUUGGGGAGUGAACCAACUGAUGGCAGCUCUCUCUUAUUUCUCUGCUCUUCAAAAUAAAGUGAAUGAAUUUUACCUCUUUCCUGGGUUUAGGACUCCACAGUUUUACCUUGAACCACUGACGAGUGAUGACCUGGGACAUCUCUUAUAAAUGAUAAGGUUAGACCUGAUCCGAUUAAAAAUAGUAUGAGGUGUGGGAUACAAUUAAAUUUUUUUUCUUUACUUUACAAAGAUCUACCCAGUUCUAGCAUUGUUUGUUGAGAAGAACCUCCCUCUGCUAUUAACUUGUCAUUUUUGUUAAAUUCCCCAUCCAAGUUCUAGCUCUCACUUCGCACUCUUCUGUUGCAUGGAUCUGAGGUGUGUCCUUGGGCUGGGAUUCAACUGUUUUUGGUUACUGUAUCUUUCAGUAAGUCUUACAAUCAGGCAGGAAAAUUCAACUUGCCCUUUUUAUGAAGUUGCUCCAGCUAGUGCAGGCUCCCAUGCCUUUGGCAUUUAUGAGAUGCCCAUGCCUGGGACUGCCAGCCAGCGCUGGCUCCUCUGACUCUAGCUUCCUGCUAACAGAUCCUGGGAGGGAGUCCUGAUGGAUCCAGGACCUGGGCUCCCACCACCACAUGAGGCUGGUGUUCUGGUUGCCUUUUUCCUCACCAGUUCAGCAUGACUCCCUUAAGCAUUUAAGGAGCAAAUCAGUGGUUGGGAACUCUAUCAAAUUUUAAAAGCAAACAGGGAGGGGUUGAUACUGUGCUCUAGAGGAUAAAGCUGCUGCUUGCAAUGCUGACAUCCCCAAAGGAGCACCAGUUCCUGUCCUGGCUGCCCUGCUUCCAGUCAGCUUCCUGCAGAUGGCCUGGAAAAACGGCAGGAGAUGGUCCGAGUACUCCCAACAGAAACCUGGAAAACGCUCCUGGCUUCAGCCUGGCACAGCCCUGGCUGUUGUGGCCAUUUGUGGAAGAAACUGGCAGAUGGAAGAGCUCUCUGUUUCUCUUAACUCUGAGGUUCAAAUAAACAAAUCAUUAACAAAUAAAUAAAGGGUGUUUCAUAUGUGGGAACUGUCCACUCGGACACUCACAUCCCAUUUCAGAUCACCCGGGGUUGAAUUCUGGCUGCAUUCUCCGCUCUGCCUCUGCACUGCACAUCCUGCCUGCAAGCAUCCUGGGGGCACCUGCCGAGUCCCUGCCACGCCCGUGUGAGACCCACAGUGCAUUCAGACCCUGGCUUGGCCUGGCACAAUUCCAGCUGCUUCGGGGACUUGAGGAGUGAAGCAGCAGAUAGAAGAACUUUCUAUUUUUCAAAUAAAAAAAAAGAAAUGGAUAAAAAGUUUAAAAAUACAAAGUUCUAGCUUGCUGGGAUUUUUACUGGGACUGAACUGGCUCAAUGUUUCGAUCAAUUUGCAGAAGUAGCAUUUUACACCACAAACCUGAUUUCCAGGUGCUUGCCUGGGUGCUGCCAGCUGCUGUGUUUGAGCUCUUUGGAGCAAACUCUGGCAGGAACUGAGGCUUUGAAGCCGCAGUCCCGCAGUCUGAGAGGAACUGAAUCGCCCCAACAAGCGCCUGACUUAAUGAGGAAGCGAGUCGUCCCUAGCCAGUCUGAGAUGAUUGCAGCCGCGAGACAGAGGAGCCAGUUAAGCUGCCCCAGACUCCCAACCAUCAAAGCCACGGGACAGUAAGUGUUGCUUUCCAAUGCUGACUUUCGGCUAAUUGCUACGCAGUAAAAGUUAAUUACUCCAACAUCGGCAGGUUACUCAUCAAUACAAAGCUUGUCAUACUCCUUUUUCAUGUCUUCAAGGUCUAAUUUUCUUUUAGCCUGGGUAAAAGUGACAGAAGACUUAAUGAACCUGCAGAUGGUACAUGGGACAUUACCUAAUCUGAACAACACAUACAAGAAGAUGCUUGGGAAGAACCUGUGUGAAUGUGACUGAAGGUGAGACAUCUAUGUCAUUAGGAGACAGCUGAUU